RNAcentral lists this ribosomal RNA (354 nucleotides) under Amphiprion sebae (Sebae anemonefish). RNAcentral's name for it is "partial 12S ribosomal RNA". It matches the Rfam family "Bacterial small subunit ribosomal RNA", at positions 1028 to 1533 of the family's 1533-position model. The record is from RNAcentral. Lineage: Eukaryota; Metazoa; Chordata; Actinopteri; Pomacentridae.
UGUUAUACCGCCUAUAUACCGCCGUCGUCAGCCUACCCUGUGAAGGACUAGAAGUGAGCAAGAUUGGUAAAACCCAAAACGUCAGGUCGAGGUGUAGUGUAUGAGAGGGGAAGAAAUGGGCUACAUUUCCUAAAUCAGGAAACACGAAUAAUGAACUGAAAUGAGCAUUAGAAGGUGGAUUUAGCAGUAAGCAGUAAAACAGAGUGUUCUGCUGAAAUUUGGCAAUAAAGCACGCACAUAUCGCCCGUCACUCUCCCCGAGCUAAUACAAAAGCAAAUAUCUAAAAAACUACAUCUGCAAAGGGGAGGCAAGUCGUAACAUGGUAAGCGUACCGGAAGGUGCGCUUGGAACAAU